This 468-nucleotide ribosomal RNA is filed under the name uncultured bacterium. RNAcentral describes it as "partial 16S ribosomal RNA". It matches the Rfam family "Bacterial small subunit ribosomal RNA", at positions 28 to 507 of the family's 1533-position model. The record is from RNAcentral.
GACGAACGCUGGCGGCGUGCUUAACACAUGCAAGUCGAACGGAAAGGCCCUGCUUUUGUGGGGUGCUCGAGUGGCGAACGGGUGAGUAACACGUGAGUAACCUGCCCUUGACUUUGGGAUAACUUCAGGAAACUGGGGCGAAUACCGGAUAGGAGCUCCUGCUGCAUGGGGGGGGUUGGAAAGUUUCGGCGGUUGGGGAUGGACUCGCGGCUUAUCAGCUUGUUGGUGGGGUAGUGGCUUACCAAGGCUUUGACGGGUAGCCGGCCUGAGAGGGUGACCGGCCACAUUGGGACUGAGAUACGGCCCAGACUCCUACGGGAGGCAGCAGUGGGGAAUAUUGCACAAUGGGCGGAAGCCUGAUGCAGCAACGCCGCGUGCGGGAUGACGGCCUUCGGGUUGUAAACCGCGUUCGCCUGUGACGAAGCGUGAGUGACGGUAAUGGGUAAAGAAGCACCGGCUAACUACGUG